CAGUCGAGGGGCAGCGGAGAGGUAGCAAUACCUUUGCCGGCGACCGGCGCACGGUUGAGUAACACGUAUGCAAUCCACCUGUAACAGGGGGAUAACCCGGAGAAAUCCGGACUAAUACCCCAUAAUAUGGGCUCUCCGCAUGGAGGGUCCAUUAAAGAGAGCAAUUUUGGUUACAGACGAGCAUGCGCUCCAUUAGCCAGUUGGCGGGGUAACGGCCCACCAAAGCGACGAUGGAUAGGGGUUCUGAGAGGAAGGUCCCCCACAUUGGAACUGAGACACGGUCCAAACUCCUACGGGAGGCAGCAGUGAGGAAUAUUGGUCAAUGGUCGGCAGACUGAACCAGCCAAGUCGCGUGAGGGAAGACGGCCCUACGGGUUGUAAACCUCUUUUGUCGGAGAGUAAAGUACGCUACGUGUAGCGUAUUGCAAGUAUCCGAAGAAAAAGCAUCGGCUAACUCCGUGCCAGCAGCCGCGGUAAUACGGAGGAUGCAAGCGUUAUCCGGAUUUAUUGGGUUUAAAGGGUGCGUAGGCGGCACGCCAAGUCAGCGGUGAAAUUUCCGGGCUCAACCCGGACUGUGCCGUUGAAACUGGCGAGCUAGAGUGCACAAGAGGCAGGCGGAAUGCGUGGUGUAGCGGUGAAAUGCAUAGAUAUCACGCAGAACCCCGAUUGCGAAGGCAGCCUGCUAGGGUGCGACAGACGCUGAGGCACGAAAGCGUGGGUAUCGAACAGGAUUAGAUACCCUGGUAGUCCACGCAGUAAACGAUGAAUACUAACUGUUUGCGA
RNAcentral lists this ribosomal RNA (783 nucleotides) under uncultured bacterium. RNAcentral's name for it is "bacterial SSU rRNA". It matches the Rfam family "Bacterial small subunit ribosomal RNA", at positions 59 to 829 of the family's 1533-position model. The record is from RNAcentral.